UACGUAGGGUGCGAGCGUUAAUCGGAAUUACUGGGCGUAAAGCGUGCGCAGGCGGUUUUGUAAGCCAGGUGUGAAAUCCCCGGGCUCAACCUGGGAAUGGCAUUUGGGACUGCAAGGCUGGAGUGCGGCAGAGGAGACUGGAAUUCCUGGUGUAGCAGUGAAAUGCGUAGAUAUCAGGAGGAACACCGAUGGCGAAGGCAGGUCUCUGGGCUGACACUGACGCUCAUGCACGAAAGCGUGGGGAGCGAAACAA
Molecule: ribosomal RNA, 253 nt
Filed under: uncultured bacterium
Lineage: Bacteria
Description: partial 16S ribosomal RNA
Rfam family: Bacterial small subunit ribosomal RNA
Source: RNAcentral